AUUAAAUUAUUUUUAUAUAAUUUUUAUUUAAUUAAUAAUUAGACUUAUAAAACUAUAUAAAAAUAUUAAAAAAAGUAAAAUUUAUUAUAAAAAUAUUUUUAUAUCCGCAGCAUCGCACGGGCAUUUCACUAGUUACAAUUGAUAUUAGAGUUAGAUUUCAAAUCUCGCAUCGAAUGAUAAUUGCAAGGCUAAAUUACAUAAAACCUUCUAUCAAUAUCCGUUUUUUCACUUCUCUUCUUGUCAUUAAAAAAUCUAUGCUUUACAUCUCUAAAAAAUAAAAAAUAUUCACAGAAGGUAUGGUGUGACAAAAUGAUCAAGUUGUUUCAUAUUCUUCAUCUCCUCCUCUCCAAUCUUGCUUAUUUCGGC
This 366-nucleotide long non-coding RNA is filed under the name Ananas comosus (pineapple). Its description in RNAcentral is "long non-coding RNA (ACOM_LNC031827)". The record is from RNAcentral. Lineage: Eukaryota; Viridiplantae; Streptophyta; Magnoliopsida; Poales; Bromeliaceae.